AUUUAUCAUCAAUUUACAGCAGAGAAAACAGAAGAAAUUACCUAGUGGUAGGAUAUUACUUCUCAAAAGAAUGAGCUAUCAAAUAGUAAGAUAAAAAAUUUAAGUGCAGAUCCUGCCUGAGCCUGAUCACAGAAUCAUAUGCCAUAAUUUAAAGAACUUCAAUGGAGCUGGAGUUUUCAAACCAACACAAGCAGCUUUCUACCAGAAGGAAUCAGAAAAUGCAGCUUAUCUUUUUGGAAAAAUGAAAAGAAGAGUAAUCUGAAGGCACCAUGUAGCUGGAUUUACACCUUUGUUGUUUCCAUCCAUAAGAAAAAUGUGUUUUUUUCCUUCCUAUAUGAUUUAUAGUCACUUCAUUGUCUUCAUGGAUCACUAAAAAGUGCAAUAGUAUUUGGUGUAUGUUUUGUUAUAUCUCAAAUACUCUGACAAUUUUGAGGAUUCAUUCUUAGGAUGUCAAAAUAAAUACCGUUUUAGGUAGAUUGGUUUCAUUUAAUUGCCUUUUUUUUAAAAAAAGUCAGUCCCAAAUGGACAUAAUCUAAAAUUUUACAUUAUCUUUACUGCAAUUAUAUUCCUUAAGAACUAAGCUUAAUAUUAUCAUAAAAUAUCACUUAUUUUAUAAAUUUCAAAAAUGAUUUAUCUUCAGAGGUAAUUCUGCAUUCCCAAAUUUCCAGCAAUUAUUCUCUCCCUGAAGUCUUUAAUCAGUUGGGUUUAAUAUUGUAGACAUUGUCUGCUAAUAUUUAAUAAUCAUGUGUAAGCAUCCUAUCCAUAUUUUAUUUAAUAUAAAGGAAAAGAUAAGGCAAAAUCAUGGUGAGCAUUCUCUUCACAAA
Molecule: long non-coding RNA, 824 nt
Organism: Anas platyrhynchos (mallard)
Lineage: Eukaryota; Metazoa; Chordata; Aves; Anseriformes; Anatidae
Source: RefSeq, a predicted model, not a curated record